Molecule: ribosomal RNA, 467 nt
Filed under: uncultured bacterium
Lineage: Bacteria
Description: partial 16S ribosomal RNA
Rfam family: Bacterial small subunit ribosomal RNA
Source: RNAcentral
GACGAACGCUGGCGGCGUGCUUAACACAUGCAAGUCGAACGGAAAGGCCCUGCUUUUGUGGGGUGCUCGAGUGGCGAACGGGUGAGUAACACGUGAGUAACCUGCCCUUGACUUUGGGAUAACUUCAGGAAACUGGGGCUAAUACCGGAUAGGAGCUCCUGCUGCAUGGUGGGGGUUGGAAAGUUUCGGCGGUUGGGGAUGGACUCGCGGCUUAUCAGCUUGUUGGUGGGGUAGUGGCUUACCAAGGCUUUGACGGGUAGCCGGCCUGAGAGGGUGACCGGCCCAUGGGGGCUGUGCGUCGGCCCCGGCCCCAUCGGGGGGCAGGGGGGGGGAAUGUUGCAAGAGGGGGCGGGGGCUUGAUGCAGCACCCCCGGGUGGGGGAUGCCGCCUUUCGGGUUGAAACCCAUUUGCACCUGGAAGAACGGUGGAUGGCGGUUACUGGUAAGAGAGCCACCGCCAACCUCCUG